AAAGGGUGGUAAUGCCGGAUGUUCCACAUGAUCGCAUGUGAUUGUGGGAAAGAUUCUAUCGGCGUGGGAUGGGGUCGCGUCCUAUCAGCUUGUUGGUGAGGUAACGGCUCACCAAGGCUUCGACGGGUAGCCGGCCUGAGAGGGCGACCGGCCACAUUGGGACUGAGAUACGGCCCAGACUCCUACGGGAGGCAGCAGUGGGGAAUAUUGCACAAUGGGCGCAAGCCUGAUGCAGCGACGCCGCGUGAGGGAUGGAGGCCUUCGGGUUGUAAACCUCUUUUGUUUGGGAGCAAGCCUUCGGGUGAGUGUACCUUUCGAAUAAGCGCCGGCUAACUACGUGCCAGCAGCCGCGGUAAUACGUAGGGCGCAAGCGUUAUCCGGAUUUAUUGGGCGUAAAGGGCUCGUAGGCGGCUCGUCGCGUCCGGUGUGAAAGUCCAUCGCUUAACGGUGGAUCUGCGCCGGGUACGGGCGGGCUGGAGUGCGGUAGGGGAGACUGGAAUUCCCGGUGUAACGGUGGAAUGUGUAGAUAUCGGAAAAGAACACCAAGC
RNAcentral lists this ribosomal RNA (548 nucleotides) under Bifidobacterium bifidum. RNAcentral describes it as "bacterial SSU rRNA". It matches the Rfam family "Bacterial small subunit ribosomal RNA", at positions 155 to 714 of the family's 1533-position model. The record is from RNAcentral. Lineage: Bacteria; Bacillati; Actinomycetota; Actinomycetes; Bifidobacteriales; Bifidobacteriaceae.